RNAcentral lists this ribosomal RNA (770 nucleotides) under uncultured bacterium. RNAcentral describes it as "bacterial SSU rRNA". It matches the Rfam family "Bacterial small subunit ribosomal RNA", at positions 28 to 809 of the family's 1533-position model. The record is from RNAcentral.
GAUGAACGCUGGCGGCGUGCCUAACACAUGCAAGUCGAACGGACUUUUCAUGAAGCCUAGCGAUUGGAAAGUUAGUGGCGGACGGGUGAGUAACGCGUGGGUAACCUGCCUUGUACUGGGGGACAACAGUUGGAAACGACUGCUAAUACCGCAUAAGCGCACAGCUUCGCAUGAAGCAGUGUGAAAAACUCCGGUGGUACAAGAUGGACCCGCGUCUGAUUAGCUGGUUGGUGAGGUAACGGCCCACCAAGGCGACGAUCAGUAGCCGGCCUGAGAGGGUGAACGGCCACAUUGGGACUGAGACACGGCCCAAACUCCUACGGGAGGCAGCAGUGGGGGAUAUUGCACAAUGGGGGAAACCCUGAUGCAGCAACGCCGCGUGAGUGAAGAAGUAUUUCGGUAUGUAAAGCUCUAUCAGCAGGAAAGAAAAUGACGGUACCUGACUAAGAAGCCCCGGCUAACUACGUGCCAGCAGCCGCGGUAAUACGUAGGGGGCAAGCGUUAUCCGGAUUUACUGGGUGUAAAGGGAGCGUAGACGGUUUUGCAAGUCUGAAGUGAAAGCCCGGGGCUUAACCCCGGGACUGCUUUGGAAACUGUAGAACUAGAGUGCAGGAGAGGUAAGUGGAAUUCCUAGUGUAGCGGUGAAAUGCGUAGAUAUUAGGAGGAACACCAGUGGCGAAGGCGGCUUACUGGACUGUAACUGACGUUGAGGCUCGAAAGCGUGGGGAGCAAACAGGAUUAGAUACCCUGGUAGUCCACGCCGUAAACGA